This 494-nucleotide ribosomal RNA is filed under the name uncultured bacterium. Its description in RNAcentral is "partial 16S ribosomal RNA". It matches the Rfam family "Bacterial small subunit ribosomal RNA", at positions 31 to 507 of the family's 1533-position model. The record is from RNAcentral.
GAACGCUGGCGGCGUGCCUAAUACAUGCAAGUCGAGCGAACAGACGAGGAGCUUGCUCCUUUGACGUUAGCGGCGGACGGGUGAGUAACACGUGGGUAACCUACCUAUAAGACUGGGAUAACUUCGGGAAACCGGAGCUAAUACCGGAUAAUAUUUCGAACCGCAUGGUUCGAUAGUGAAAGAUGGCUUUGCUAUCACUUAUAGAUGGACCUGCGCCGUAUUAGCUAGUUGGUAAGGUAACGGCUUACCAAGGCAACGAUACGUAGCCGACCUGAGAGGGUGAUCGGCCACACUGGAACUGAGACACGGUCCAGACUCCUACGGGAGGCAGCAGUAGGGAAUCUUCCGCAAUGGGCGAAAGCCUGACGGGGCAACGCCGCGUGAGUGAUGAAGGUCUUCGGAUCGUAAAACUCUGUUAUUAGGGAAGAACAAACGUGUAAGUAACUGUGCACGUCUUGACGGUACCUAAUCAGAAAGCCACGGCUAACUACGUG